GGGGCUAGCGUUAUCCGGAUUUACUGGGCGUAAAGGGUGCGUAGGUGGUCCUUCAAGUCGGUGGUUAAAGGCUACGGCUCAACCGUAGUAAGCCGCCGAAACUGGAGGACUUGAGUGCAGGAGAGGAAAGUGGAAUUCCCAGUGUAGCGGUGAAAUGCGUAGAUAUUGGGAGGAACACCAGUAGCGAAGGCGGCUUUCUGGACUGCAACUGACACUGAGGCACGAAAGCGUGGGUAGCAAACAGGAUUAGAUACCCUGGUAGUCCACGCUGUAAACGAUGAGUACUAGGUGUCGGGGGUUACCCCCCUCGGUGCCGCGGCUAACGCAUUAAGUACUCCGCCUGGGGAGUACGCACGCAAGUGUGAAACUCAAAGGAAUUGACGGGGACCCGCACAAGUAGCGGAGCAUGUGGUUUAAUUCGAAGCAACGCGAAGAACCUUACCUAAGCUUGACAUCCCUCGGACAGGUGUUUAAUCACACCCUUCCUUCGGGACUGAGGUGACAGGUGGUGCAUGGUUGUCGUCAGCU
Molecule: ribosomal RNA, 528 nt
Filed under: Peptostreptococcaceae bacterium oral taxon D17
Lineage: Bacteria; Bacillati; Bacillota; Clostridia; Peptostreptococcales; Peptostreptococcaceae
Description: bacterial SSU rRNA
Rfam family: Bacterial small subunit ribosomal RNA
Source: RNAcentral